GCCAGAUGAGCGCCGCCCUCAAAUAAUGGCGGGUAUUUACGGCGGCAGGUUGAAUCAAAAAAAAAAAAAAAACGCCGUUGAGUUGAGUCAACACAGCUGGCUCCGGCGUGAUUUACGUCGGAGUGGCGUUUGGGUGGUACGAGUGAGGCAAGCGCAAGCCUGGAGCGAUCACGUUUCAGUCUGGAAAAAUUAUAAAAAUGAAAGUCAAUAUUUUUGACGCGAACGAAGCAAAAGUGGAGCCGGCGUGUGGGCACAAAGGGCUGAUUGAGAGCGCUGCACUGAAGGAUCCAGAUCUUGAUGUCAGCCUUCAUCAGAGUCUCUAUGGUUUCGGGCACCUUAUCUUGGAGCUUGUCCUCGAUGGCGGUGGCCCCCAACAACUGCAGGUUCUACAACAAGAAAAAAGAAGGGACGCCGGAAGUUGGCAGAC
Molecule: long non-coding RNA, 427 nt
Organism: Entelurus aequoreus (snake pipefish)
Lineage: Eukaryota; Metazoa; Chordata; Actinopteri; Syngnathiformes; Syngnathidae
Exons: 3
Source: RefSeq, a predicted model, not a curated record